GACGAACGCUGGCGGCGUGCUUAACACAUGCAAGUCGAACGAGGUCCACCGCGUAGCAAUACAAGGGAAGACCUAGUGGCGAACGGGUGCGUAACACGUGAGGAACUUGUCCCGGUCUCUGGGAUAACAGUUGGAAACGACUGCUAAUACCGGAUGACGUCGGAAUCUCGCAUGGGAUACUGACGAAAGGGUUACUGGAUCGGGAGAGCCUCGCGGCCUAUCAGCUUGUUGGUGAGGUAACGGCUCACCAAGGCAUCGACGGGUAGCUGGUCUGAGAGGAUGAUCAGCCACACUGGGACUGAGACACGGCCCAGACUCCUACGGGAGGCAGCAGUGGGGAAUCUUGCGCAAUGGGCGAAAGCCUGACGCAGCAACGCCGCGUGCGGGAAGAAGGCCCUCGGGUUGUAAACCGCUUUCAGCAGGAACGAAAUGACGGUACUUGCAGAAGAAGGUGCGGCCAACUACGUGCCAGCAGCCGCGGUAA
This 484-nucleotide ribosomal RNA is filed under the name uncultured bacterium. Its description in RNAcentral is "bacterial SSU rRNA". It matches the Rfam family "Bacterial small subunit ribosomal RNA", at positions 28 to 523 of the family's 1533-position model. The record is from RNAcentral.